Long non-coding RNA from Austrofundulus limnaeus, 620 nucleotides. RefSeq lists it as uncharacterized. The record is from RefSeq and is a predicted model, not a curated record. Lineage: Eukaryota; Metazoa; Chordata; Actinopteri; Cyprinodontiformes; Rivulidae. The transcript is spliced from 2 exons.
UGUCUCAGUCUGAGGACCAAUGUCUUACAGCCAGAGGACAAACGUCUCACAGCCAGAGGACAAAUGUCUCAGUCUGAGGACAAAUGUCUUACAGCCAGAGGACAAACGUCUCACAGCCAGAGGACAAAUGUCUCAGUCUGAGGACCAAUGUCUUACAGCCAGAGGACAAACGUCUCACAGCCAGAGGACAAAUGUCUCAGUCUGAGGACAAAUGUCUUACAGCUGGAGGACCAAUGUCUUACAGCCAGAGGACAAAUGUCUUAUAGCCAGAGGACAAACGUCUCACAGCCAGAGGACAAACGUCUUACAGCCAGAGGACAAACGUCUUACAGCCAGAGGACAAACGUCUCACAGCCAGAGGAUAAAUGUCUUACAGCCAGAGGACAAACGUCUUACAGUCUGAGGACAAAUGUCUUACAGUCUGAGGACAAACGUCUUACAGGCAGAGGACAGUAGCGAGGACAUGUACAUUAUAGGGAGAAGACAUGUGUCUCAUAGGGAGAGGACAGAUGUCUCGUCAGGAGAGGACAGAUGUCUCAUCGGGAGAGGACAGAUGUCUCAUCGGGAGAGGACAGAUGUCUCAUCGGGAGAGGACAGAUGUCUCAUCGGGAGAGGACAGA